GCACUGGUGGUUCACUGGUAGAAUUCUUUCCUGCUAUGAGGGAGACCUGGGUUCCAUUCCUGGCUAAUGCA
Danio rerio (zebrafish) is the source of this 71-nucleotide non-coding RNA. The record is from Rfam. Lineage: Eukaryota; Metazoa; Chordata; Actinopteri; Cypriniformes; Danionidae.